AGUAAUAAUAAUGUAGACUUUGUAAAUAGUUGGACUGCUUGGAGGGAAUUAUUUGUUUAGCAGAGUGAUGGUGAUUGAGAAAAAACUGUCCUUGUAUCUAGUUGUUCUGGUAUGCAGUGCUCUAUUGCAUCGUUUUGAGGAUAGAAGGUAAACUAGUUUAAGUCCAGGAUGUGAGGGGUCUGUAAAUAUUUUCACAGCCCUCUUUUUCACUCGUGCAGUAUACAA
This is a non-coding RNA of Pseudonaja textilis, 225 nucleotides long. The record is from RefSeq and is a predicted model, not a curated record. Lineage: Eukaryota; Metazoa; Chordata; Lepidosauria; Squamata; Elapidae.